This 468-nucleotide ribosomal RNA is filed under the name uncultured bacterium. RNAcentral describes it as "partial 16S ribosomal RNA". It matches the Rfam family "Bacterial small subunit ribosomal RNA", at positions 28 to 507 of the family's 1533-position model. The record is from RNAcentral.
GACGAACGCUGGCGGCGUGCUUAACACAUGCAAGUCGAACGGAAAGGCCCUGCUUUUGUGGGGUGCUCGAGUGGCGAACGGGUGAGGAACACGUGAGUAACCUGCCCUUGACUUUGGGAUAACUUCAGGAAACUGGGGCUAAUACCGGAUAGGAGCUCCUGCUGCAUGGUGGGGGUUGGAAAGUUUCGGCGGUUGGGGAUGGACUCGCGGCUUAUCAGCUUGUUGGUGGGGUAGUGGCUUACCAAGGCUUUGACGGGUAGCCGGCCUGAGAGGGUGACCGGCCACAUUGGGACUGAGAUACGGACCAGACUCCUACGGGAGGCAGCAGUGGGGAGUAUUGCACAAUGGGCGGGAGCCUGAUGCAGCAACGCCGCGUGCGGGAUGACGGCCUUCGGGUUGUAAACCGCUUUCGCCUGUGACGAAGCGUGAGUGACGGUAAUGGGUAAAGAAGCACCGGCUAACUACGUG